Long non-coding RNA from Symphalangus syndactylus (siamang), 2421 nucleotides. RefSeq lists it as uncharacterized. The record is from RefSeq and is a predicted model, not a curated record. Lineage: Eukaryota; Metazoa; Chordata; Mammalia; Primates; Hylobatidae.
AAUUCAGUCCCCAUUUGUUGGAUCGAACACUUCGGUUCUGCCCGUGUCUGCUUGCUUGGUUCAUCUGGGCAUGAUCAAGAGGAGGAAACUGAGGCUCAGAGAGGGUUAGUGACUCAAGCAGAGUCACACCCCGUGGAAACCCUCCCAGGCCCAAGGACCCCUAGUGUCUGGCCACUCACCCACUGCAGCCUUCAGCUGGGACAGCUCCUGGAAGAUCUCCUCCUGCUUGGACUGCUCCUGCCUCUGGGAGCUGGGGUUCUUGGAACCUGGGACAAGGAAAGAUAUUGAAAUUAUUAAACACCUGCUCUGUGCCACGCCCUACACUGUGCCCCUAAGGACGCCAUUUCUGAGCACCAAAAUCUUGUUUAAACCCUUUUGUGGAUAAGGAAAACUGACACCCAGAGAAAGCAGCAGGGAAUGGACAGGAGAGCCUGUCCUCCCCUCCCCUGUCCUGGAGAUGGGAGUAGUCAUAGGGAAAGGCCUCUGGAAACCCAAAGGGACAGAAGGCCAGCUAUCAGCCCCUCGUUCCUCUUGGACCUGGCCACCCCCAGCUGUGUCUACAGCAGAAGAACCAGGCCUAGGAGGCCAGGACUCUCAGAGCCCGCUGCUGACCUUGGACAAGGAUGGCCACCAGGAGCCCAGUGAAGAGUGUGAAGAAGAGGAGCAGCAGCACCAGGGGCGCGUGGCCCAGACACCCUGCAGGAGAAAACAUUGCUUGGUUUCAGCAUGCCAGUGGCCAUGCCUCAGCCUGGCCCAGGGAAAGCCCGGCCCCAGCCCCAUCUCCCCACGUGGCAGGAGUCAAGGUCCCAGCCUCCACCCACCCAGGACCUAGGAGUCUAGGAACCCAGUCCUUACUUCCCAGGUCCCAGGAGUGAAGGCCCCAGCCCCCACCUCCCCAGGACCCAGGAACCCAGGACCCAGCCCCCACCUCCUUAGGAUGCAGGAGUCCAGGACCCUGCUCCCACCUCCCCAGGAUUCAGGAGUCCAGACCCCAGCCUCUACUUCCCUAGGACCCAGGAGUCCAAGCCCCCAGGCCCCACCUCUCCAAGACCCAGGAACCCAGGCCCAUAACCCCUAUCUCCUCAGGACCUCGAAACCCAGGUCCCAGCCUCCACCUCCUCAAGUCUCAGUAGUCCAGACCCCAGCCCCUGCCUCCGUAGGACCCAGGAGUCCAGGCUCCAGCCCCCACCACCCCAGGUCCCAGGAAUCUAGGCCUCAGCCCCCACCUCUCCAAGACCCAGCCUCUACUUACUUCCUUAUGUCCUAGGAGUCCAGGCCCUAGUCACCAGCUCCCCAGGACCCAGGAACCCAGCCUCCACCUCCCCAGGUUCCAGGAGUCCAGGCUCCAGCCACCUGCUCCCCAGGACCCAAGAGUCUGGGAGGCUCUGUUCCCUCCUCCCUUCCAGCUAACCCUUCUCUACCUGCUAAGCUCUUGUAGCCUCGAGUCUGUCGGAAUCCAAAGUUUCUCGGAAAAAAAUUCAUACCGCUAGUUAUCAGCUCUUCCUCUUCUAAAUGGAUAAACACGAACUCAGAGCCUGGGCAGGCUGAGGCCAGGGCUGGCCAUCCCCUUCCCCACCCCAGGAUCCCAGAGCACCCCAGGAUCCCAGAGCCCCAGCUCAGCCUCACCCCGGAGGCCCAGCGGCUGCGCCCUUGGUUCCUUGUAGUCACUCAUGUUUCCCCCACUGUCCCUCAAUGUCCAGAACUUCUGGGGACCACGAUGCUUAUUUCCCACCCCGUGAUUCUCACUCCCUAAAUCUCUUCCUACUGGGGAAGAAAAACAGGAAACUGGGUAGGGACAUAACACCCGAAAGGCUAGUGGGAGGGGUCAGAGCAUGAGAUGGCCCUGACCUUGCAGGAAUUUCAAGGAGCUGGUGAGGGAUGGUCUGAGGUUGACAGGGAGAAGGAUUCGUCCACUCCUUCCAUAGCUGAGCUGUGCGAUGCUUUUAAUGAAAUCCAGUACGUUCUAAUGAAAAGUGACUCUGCUUUACUCCUCCACCUAGGGCAGGGAUGGGCAGGCAGGACCCCUAGUUCCCGGAACCACCAGCCUCCCUGACCCCCAGGCUUUGUUGCUGUGGGCUGCUGAUGUCCUCUUUUAUGAGAAUUUUUGCUGACUUCGGGAGUUGGGGCUGAAUCAGAAUUGCUUGUUUAUUUAAUGCCUAUGGUAGUCAAGCAUUUUUCUAGUAAGUUUAUCAACUCAUUCACUUGAAUCUUCCUACCCUAUGGUAGAUCAUAUGAUUUCCGUUUUGUAGAUGGGGGAUACUAAAGCAUGGUGAGGUUAUGUAACUGGCCCAAGGUCACACAGCUGGUAAAUGGGACAUCUGGGAUUUGAACCCAGUCUGCUCAAUGACAGUCAAAGACAAUUCACCAAAAGACAGUUAAAUGGCAUCAAGGAGGAAAUAAAAUAUUCAUAAUGGCUUUGAA